RNAcentral lists this ribosomal RNA (857 nucleotides) under uncultured bacterium. Its description in RNAcentral is "SSU rRNA". It matches the Rfam family "Bacterial small subunit ribosomal RNA", at positions 524 to 1381 of the family's 1533-position model. The record is from RNAcentral.
UACGGGAGUGGCAAGCGUUAUCCGGAAUUAUUGGGCGUAAAGCGUCCGCAGGCGGUCUUGUAAGUCCGUUGUUAAAGCGUGGAGCUUAACUCCAUUUCAGCAAUGGAAACUGCAAGACUAGAGUGUGGUAGGGGCAGAGGGAAUUCCCGGUGUAGCGGUGAAAUGCGUAGAUAUCGGGAAGAACACCAGUGGCGAAGGCGCUCUGCUGGGCCAUAACUGACGCUCAUGGACGAAAGCCAGGGGAGCGAAAGGGAUUAGAUACCCCUGUAGUCCUGGCCGUAAACGAUGGACACUAGGUGUCGGGGGAAUCGACCCCCUCGGUGUCGUAGCCAACGCGUUAAGUGUUCCGCCUGGGGAGUACGCACGCAAGUGUGAAACUCAAAGGAAUUGACGGGGGCCCGCACAAGCGGUGGAGUAUGUGGUUUAAUUCGAUGCAACGCGAAGAACCUUACCAGGGUUUGACAUCCUGCGAAUCUUUUGGAAACGAGAGAGUGCCUUCGGGAACGCAGUGACAGGUGGUGCAUGGCUGUCGUCAGCUCGUGUCGUGAGAUGUUGGGUUAAGUCCCGCAACGAGCGCAACCCACGUCGUUAGUUGCCAGCAUUUAGUUGGGCACUCUAGCGAGACCGCCGGUGAUAAACCGGAGGAAGGUGUGGAUGACGUCAAGUCAUCAUGCCCCUUACAUCCUGGGCUACACACGUACUACAAUGCUACGGACAAAGGGCAGCAAACUCGCGAGAGCUAGCAAAUCCCAUAAACCGUGGCUCAGUUCAGAUCGUAGGCUGCAACUCGCCUACGUGAAGGAGGAAUCGCUAGUAAUCGCAGGUCAGCAUACUGCGGUGAAUACGUUCCCGGGCCU